This 992-nucleotide long non-coding RNA is filed under the name Oryzias sinensis (Chinese medaka). Its description in RNAcentral is "lncRNA (ENSOSIG00000019346.1)". Lineage: Eukaryota; Metazoa; Chordata; Actinopteri; Beloniformes; Adrianichthyidae. The record is from RNAcentral.
GUCCAAUCAGCGCUCAGAUGCGAACUGCUCGACGCUCAUUGGUUCGUUAAGGAGGAAGAUGCUAAGUCCGCCGUGAACAGACCCUCCGAAUGAUCCCGGAGAUUUGAUCAAUUACCCGAAAAUCCGGACGUUUCCGCGCAUAUUAUGACGUAUGUGCUGGAUUUUUAAUUGAACUGAUUGAUUUUUUUUGCUUUUGUUUCUGUGCUGUCGGAUCUUCUGACGGUAUGUGGGCCCGAUUCGCGUCUUUAAAGACACACCUUACACAAUGUAGCUUCGUGGUUAUUGUUAAUAAAGGUAAGUUAAUAUUAAAAUUAAAUAAAAAUAAUAAACAAAGCGGGUUAACCAUAACCAAGCCUCAUUGUGUGCAUCUUAUUUGUGCUUUAAUUUUUGUAAUAAUCCAUCCCUGCUUUGGGGGGGCCUUAUUUCAGGUUAUGGAAGUCUGCACACAGAUCUGUUUGUAUACUUUUCUAUGAUUUGAAGGAUAAUGAUGAUUCCCAUCAUUGUGUUAGCUUUGAAUUGGCUUUUCUUUGCGACAGCAGCAGUCUGAGGCUCGAUCAGCUGCUCUUUCUGCAGGUGCUGCUGUGUAGACGAUGCACGAGCGAUGUCUGAUGUGGAGGCCGCGUACGCAGACUUCAUCGCCUCGGGCAGGACGGGCCGCAGGAACGCGCUGCAUGACAUCCUGCAGAGUCCCACCGACGCAGAGGGAGGCCAGCUGCCCCUCAGCCUGUCCCUGUCCCGCCUGCACAUCAAUGCAGGAGGAGCAGAUGCAGACAGUAUGGAGGACGAGCAGAGCUCCUCGUUUUCGGCCCAGAGGGAGGCAGAGCAGAGGAACAGCUAACCUGCCCCGCCCUUUGCCCGGCGGAGCGGCAGGACGGCUGGCAGGAAGUGCCGCGGUGAAUUCCUGCGUCCGAACCUCGCAGCUGAAGGAUAGAGCCGACACUGCUCAUACGCCUUUGAGCACAACCAUCUGGUCUUCCAGGUCUCUAGAAUAG